Molecule: long non-coding RNA, 669 nt
Organism: Oncorhynchus keta (chum salmon)
Lineage: Eukaryota; Metazoa; Chordata; Actinopteri; Salmoniformes; Salmonidae
Exons: 3
Source: RefSeq, a predicted model, not a curated record
ACCGGGUCAGUGUGGAGGUUAUAUACAGGAGGUACCGGUACAGAGUCAGUGUGGAGGUUAUAUACAGGAGGUACCGGGUCAGUGUGGAGGUUAUAUACAGGAGGUACCGGGUCAGUGUGGAGGUUAUAUACAGGAGGUACCGGUACAGAGUCAGUGUGGAGGUUAUAUACAGGAGGUACCGGGUCAGUGUGGAGGUUAUAUACAGGAGGUACCGGUACAGAGUCAGUGUGGAGGUUAUAUACAGGAGGUACCGGUACAGAGUCAGUGUGGAGGUUAUAUACAGGAGGUACCGGUACAGAGUCAGUGUGGAGGUUAUAUACAGGAGGUACCGGUACAGAGUCAGUGUGGAGGUUAUAUACAGGAGGUACCGGUACAGAGUCAGUGUGGAGGUUAUAUACAGGAGGUACCGGGUCAGUGUGGAGGUUAUAUACAGGAGGUACCGGUACAGAGUCAGUGUGGAGGUUAUAUACAGGAGGUACCGGUACAGAGUCAGUGUGGAGGUUAUAUACAGGAGGUACCGGUACAGAGUCAGUGUGGAGGUUAUAUACAGGAGGUACCGGUACAGAGUCAGUGUGGAGGUUAUAUACAGGAGGUACCGGUACAGAGUCAGUGUGGAGGUUAUAUACAGGAGGUACCGGUACAGAGUCAGUGUGGAGGUUAUAUACAGGA